GAACCUGAGAGUUUGAUCCUGGCUCAGAGCGAACGCUGGCGGCAUGCUUAACACAUGCAAGUCGCACGGGCACUUCGGUGUCAGUGGC
RNAcentral lists this ribosomal RNA (88 nucleotides) under Rhodopila sp. RNAcentral describes it as "partial 16S ribosomal RNA". It matches the Rfam family "Bacterial small subunit ribosomal RNA", at positions 1 to 99 of the family's 1533-position model. Lineage: Bacteria; Pseudomonadati; Pseudomonadota; Alphaproteobacteria; Acetobacterales; Acetobacteraceae. The record is from RNAcentral.